AUGCUUGUCUCAAAGAUUAAGCCAUGCAUGUCUAAGUAUAAACACCUUUGUACUGUGAAACUGCGAAUGGCUCAUUAAAUCAGUUAUAGUUUAUUUGAUGGUGCUUACUACAUGGAUAACCGUGGUAAUUCUAGAGCUAAUACAUGCGCAAAAGACCCGACUGUUUGGGAGGGUUGUAUUUAUUAGAUAAAAAACCAAUCGGCUUCGGCUGUUUCCGGUGAAUCAUAAUAACUGUGCGAAUCGCAUGGCCUUGUGCCGGCGAUGAAUCAUUCAAAUUUCUGCCCUAUCAACUUUCGAUGGUAAGGUAUUGGCUUACCAUGGUUGCAACGGGUAACGGGGAAUG
Molecule: ribosomal RNA, 343 nt
Filed under: uncultured fungus
Lineage: Eukaryota; Fungi
Description: bacterial SSU rRNA
Rfam family: Eukaryotic small subunit ribosomal RNA
Source: RNAcentral